Molecule: long non-coding RNA, 445 nt
Organism: Ailuropoda melanoleuca (giant panda)
Lineage: Eukaryota; Metazoa; Chordata; Mammalia; Carnivora; Ursidae
Exons: 3
Source: RefSeq, a predicted model, not a curated record
AAACCAGACCAACCCCCCACAGCGGCCACCUCAUUGUCGAUUUCAAUCUCAAGGUCCAAGAGGAGGAAGACGGUUGGCCAGAGAAGUAAUUAGCACUGAUUGAACUUCUACCAGAUGCUCUUCUGGAUGCACACACAUGCUGUCCUGGUCGAGUCUUAGCACAAACACCUCCAAGCACCCUGCAGCCCAGGUAACUUCAUACCCAUUUUACAGAUGAGGAAGCUAACUUGGACAAGUCAGAAGGAUUGCCCAUGUCUGGAAGGGAGACCCACAGAAAGGAGAUACCGAGUUCCGGAUAGACUCUGAAGUACAACCCAAGCCUCCUGACUUUUGCUCAAGUCCCUUCUCUGUGUUGGGACCCUGCUCCAACGGCAUAAACAUAUUCCCAUUUAACUGUCACAGCCACCAUCUGGGGACAGGAGUAAGGAAGAAAGAGCGGUACCCC